Heterocephalus glaber (naked mole-rat) is the source of this 218-nucleotide non-coding RNA. NCBI's taxonomy places the organism in Eukaryota, Metazoa, Chordata, Mammalia, Rodentia, Bathyergidae. The record is from RefSeq and is a predicted model, not a curated record.
UCAUGCAUCGGGGCUCUGCACUCCUCACCAGCACUCCUGGGACCUCCACACUGGACCUGGGAACCUGCAGGGAUCCUUUCUCCACCUCCAUCCCCACAGCCAUGAGCCCUACUCUGGUGCCCUUUACCAUCAACCUCACCAUCAAGAACUUGCAGUCCAUGCCAGAUAUGGACUGUCCCGGAUCCCUCAGGUUCAACAUAAUCAAGGUGAUCUUGCAG